This 372-nucleotide RNase P RNA is filed under the name Dehalococcoidia bacterium. Its description in RNAcentral is "RNase P RNA component class A". It matches the Rfam family "Bacterial RNase P class A". Rfam says of the family: Ribonuclease P (RNase P) is a ubiquitous endoribonuclease, found in archaea, bacteria and eukarya as well as chloroplasts and mitochondria. Its best characterised activity is the generation of mature 5'-ends of tRNAs by cleaving the 5'-leader elements of precursor-tRNAs. Lineage: Bacteria; Bacillati; Chloroflexota; Dehalococcoidia. The record is from RNAcentral.
UGAGUAGACCGGGUGACCGCCCCGAUUUUAUCGAUAACAUCGAUUGUAUCGGGGAGGAAAGUCCGAGCUCCACCGGGCAGGGCGCUGGGUAAUACCCAGGAGGGGUGACCCUACGGAAAGUGCCACAGAAACAUACCGGCCGCCUCUGGCGGCCAAGGGUGAAAUGGUGAGGUAAGAGCUCACCGGCGUACCAGGUGACUGGACGGCCGCGGAAAACCACGCCCGGAGCAAGACCAAAUAGGGGAACAGAUGGCGCCCGGCCAGUUCCCGGGUUGGUCGCUGGAACCCGGUGGUAACACCGGGGCUAGAGAGAUGGUCACCGUCCCGACUUGUGUCGGGAUACAGAACUCGGCUUACAGGUCUACUUGCCCA